This 497-nucleotide ribosomal RNA is filed under the name uncultured bacterium. Its description in RNAcentral is "partial 16S ribosomal RNA". It matches the Rfam family "Bacterial small subunit ribosomal RNA", at positions 28 to 507 of the family's 1533-position model. The record is from RNAcentral.
GAUGAACGCUGGCGGCGUGCCUAAUACAUGCAAGUCGAGCGAACAGACGAGGAGCUUGCUCCUCUGACGUUAGCGGCGGACGGGUGAGUAACACGUGGAUAACCUACCUAUAAGACUGGGAUAACUUCGGGAAACCGGCGCUAAUACCGGAUAAUAUAUUGCACCGCAUGGUUCAAUAGUGAAAGACGGUUUUGCUGUCACUUAUAGAUGGAUCCGCGCCGCAUUAGCUAGUUGGUAAGGUAACGGCUUACCAAGGCAACGAUGCGUAGCCGACCUGAGAGGGUGAUCGGCCACACUGGAACUGAGACACGGUCCAGACGCCUACGGGAGGCAGCAGUAGGGAAUCUUCCGCAAUGGGCGAAAGCCUGACGGAGCAACGCCGCGUGAGUGAUGAAGGUCUUCGGAUCGUAAAACUCUGUUAUUAGGGAAGAACAAAUGUGUAAGUAACUAUGCACGUCUUGACGGUACCUAAUCAGAAAGCCACGGCUAACUACGUG